AAGCCCUUCUCCUUGUGCCGUACGCCCCCUCUCCUCUCCCCUUGGUUUCAGCCGCAAGCCCUUCUCCUUGUGCCGUACGCCCCCUCUCCUCUCCCCUUGGUUUCCGCCUAGAAAAAGAUGGGAGGCGUGCUCCCUUCCUUCCUCUCUUCUUAGGUUCCAACGCAGGAAAAAGAAAAUGCUGCAAAGCUUGGUGAUCUUCUUCCUUGGUUGUUCUAUCUUCUUCCUCCUCCCAAGUACAAUCAAGGGUUGAUUCAAAAGGAGGACAUCAGCCAUCUAAAGUAGUCUCUGCAAGGGAGCUAGCACCCCGGGGAGACAAGAAAGCUUUGAUCGGAUCUCUGCUUCGUGUGGAUACCCGUAGAGGCCGGACACGUGAACGACUUCAAGCAAACCUUCAUCCUAAAUCACGAUCAUCAGUUUGCGGUGAUCAUCUAUCCGCACAAGGUGAAGAUCUAAUCUUCAUAUUUGUUUAAAAGUUUUUAAUUCUAAUCCAUCUACGAACGGUUUUUCAAUAACGUUCAUAGGAUGAACGUUGAUCCCGUGCAUGCCACUUCCGCUGCAUCUGAAAUUUUUUAAUUUUUUGCGGCAUGGGCGGGUUCCCAACAAAACAUAGAUUUUUUAAACUAUUAGAUGUAAGUAUAAUUUAUUCCUAAUCUUAAGGGACUUUUGUGAUUUACUCAUCACCCAGAGGAAAUUUUGACUUUUUAUAUAAAGAAACACAUUUAGUAAUGUUGUUAAUUUAAUUUAUUGUAAGUGUAGAUUUUACAAACUAAUGAGUAUAAGUGUAAUAAACAUAAAUCUCAAGGGAAUUUUUAUAAUUUACUCUUUUUCUUACAACAUGUAUUACUAAAUGAUAAAUAGAGAAGGGGGUGGCCGCUGGUUUUGUUGCGAAAAAUUGUGAUCAACGAUACUAAUAAGCGUCGUCUUAGCUCUAAAACUACGACGACGCUUAUUUGCAUCGUCUAUUGCCGACGGUUUUAGAAAGCGUCGGCAAUUUUUGGGGCUCGACCGAAAAUUGUCGACAAGCGUCAGUAAAAAAACCAUAAGUAAAACUGACUUUUCUUAUAAUACACAUUAUAUAAAUAUUUUUUUUAAAAAAUUUGAAUUAGUUUUGAAUCAAAUCUGAGCUUGCUUCCUUUAAUUCUUGAUCUUAGAAUAUAAAGUUUAAUUGGGUUGUCCCCGUACGAGGGAGCGGAAACGAGAGUUGAGUUUCUCUAUCCUUCUAGCCGUCAGCCUUCAGCCGGAGCGUGAAUUUGAAGUCUGUUAUUGGUUUGCAAAAUGAUACGGCCAUCUUCUCCAUGAAAGACGUACGUGUACUGGUUGUAAAUAUCGGCAUGAUGCUCUUCCUACCAUUUGAUAUCAGCUAGGAAAUUUUAAAUUAUUAUUCUUAAAGAGACGAGGAUAUUUUUAUGUGCUUUGAGCUCUUUUUCCGCCGGCAUUAAUCGUUUGUAAGCGAGGAGACAUGUACUGCUAAAGGGUGCUGCCUCACACACCGUACGGGGCUUAUAUAAUCACGGCUCGGCUGCCAUAUGUAUUAUAUGGACCACCGUGAUUAUAAAUAUGGAUCACCUUUCUCUUCUAGACCUCCAUUGGUAGACCUGCUUAUCAAACGAGUCUAGCUGAGUUUAAAUCGGGCUCAAC
RNAcentral lists this long non-coding RNA (1638 nucleotides) under Phoenix dactylifera (date palm). Its description in RNAcentral is "long non-coding RNA (PDAC_LNC014061)". The record is from RNAcentral. Lineage: Eukaryota; Viridiplantae; Streptophyta; Magnoliopsida; Arecales; Arecaceae.